This 512-nucleotide ribosomal RNA is filed under the name Triticum aestivum (bread wheat). RNAcentral's name for it is "partial small subunit ribosomal RNA". Lineage: Eukaryota; Viridiplantae; Streptophyta; Magnoliopsida; Poales; Poaceae. The record is from RNAcentral.
CGAAUUUUUGAGAACCCUUUGAGAAGGCGUUCAAGGGGUUCUCAAAUAAAACAUAAAAGUAAAAACCUUCAUGAAAUGAAGGUUUUAUUUUAUGUAAUCAUUUAGGUGUUAAUGUAAACGAACCAUAACUAUGUAAGCCUAUUCCUAAUAGAUUUAUACCAAAAUAACAAAUCCAAAUUAUAAGAAAUCCUAUCGAAGCUAUAAGUGCAGAAUUCGUACCCUUCCAAUUUGGAUUUGUUCUACUAUGUAAAUAAAUUGCGAAUAUGGUCCAAGUAAUAAAUGCCCAAGUUUCCUUAGGAUCCCAAUUCCAAUAGGAUCCCCAGGCCUCAUUAGCCCAUACUGCUCCACAAAGAAUACCUACGGUUAAAAGGGUAAAUCCUAGGCUAAUGACACGAUAACUCCAAGAAUCCAAACGCUCCGUUAAUUGAUAUUUGUAAUAAUUUGGAAAUGAAGGGACAGAGGUUCUUUUUAAAGCACUUCUUUUUGCAUAAAAAUAUUUAAUAUCACUAAAG